RNAcentral lists this non-coding RNA (30 nucleotides) under Mus musculus (house mouse). Lineage: Eukaryota; Metazoa; Chordata; Mammalia; Rodentia; Muridae. The record is from RNAcentral.
UAAAAGACUAUGAUACUAGCUUAACUUUUA